GGAGCAGUGGCAGAGAGGUCGAUUGCUGCCGCCUUGAAAGCGGCCGGGCUCGAGAGGGUCCCGUGGGUUCGAAUCCCACCUGCUCCG
RNAcentral lists this transfer RNA (87 nucleotides) under Salipiger aestuarii. RNAcentral describes it as "Citreicella sp. ADB tRNA". It matches the Rfam family "tRNA". From Rfam's summary of the family: Transfer RNA (tRNA) molecules are approximately 80 nucleotides in length. Their secondary structure includes four short double-helical elements and three loops (D, anti-codon, and T loops). The record is from Rfam by way of RNAcentral. Lineage: Bacteria; Pseudomonadati; Pseudomonadota; Alphaproteobacteria; Rhodobacterales; Roseobacteraceae.